GAUGAACGCUGGCGGCGUGCCUAAUACAUGCAAGUCGAGCGAACGGACGAGAAGCUUGCUUCUCUGAUGUUAGCGGCGGACGGGUGAGUAACACGUGGAUAACCUACCUAUAAGACUGGGAUAACUUCUGGAAACCGGAGCUAAUACCGGAUAAUAUUUUGCACCGCAUUGUUCAAAAGUGAAAGACGGUCUUGCUGUCACUUAUAGAUGGAUCCUCGCUGCAUUAGCUAGUUGGUAAGGUAACGGCUUACCAAGGCAACGAUGCAUAGCCGACCUGAGAGGGUGAUAGGACACACUGGAACUGAGACACGGUCCAGACUCCUACGGGAGGCAGCAGUAGGGAAUAUUCCGCAAUGGGCGAAAGACUGACGGAGCAACGCCGCGUGAGUGAUGAAGGUAUUCGGAUCGUAAAACUCUGUUAUUAGGGAAGAACAUAUGUGUAAGUAACUGUGCACAUCUUGACGGUACCUAAUCAGAAAGCCACGGCUAACUACGUG
Molecule: ribosomal RNA, 497 nt
Filed under: uncultured bacterium
Lineage: Bacteria
Description: partial 16S ribosomal RNA
Rfam family: Bacterial small subunit ribosomal RNA
Source: RNAcentral